GAAAUGCGAUAAGUAAUGUGAAUUGCAGAAUUCAGUGAAUCAUCGAAUCUUUGAACGCACAUUGCGCCCGCCAGUAUUCUGGCGGGCAUGCCUGUUCGAGCGUCAUUUCAACCAUCAAGCCCCCGGGCUUGUGUUGGGGACCUGCGGCUGCCGCAGGCCCCGAAAACCAGUGGCGGGCUCGCUGUCACACCGGGCGUAGUAGCUAACACCUCGCAACUGGAACGCGGCGCGGCCAAGCCGUUAAACCCCCCAACUUCUGAAUGUUGACCUCGGAUCAGGUAGGAAUACCCGCUGAACUUAAGC
This 303-nucleotide unclassified non-coding RNA is filed under the name plant metagenome. RNAcentral's name for it is "partial contains 5.8S ribosomal RNA, internal transcribed spacer 2, and large subunit ribosomal RNA". The stretch from base 1 to 105 matches the Rfam family "5.8S ribosomal RNA", at positions 50 to 154 of the family's 154-position model. The record is from RNAcentral.